This 441-nucleotide ribosomal RNA is filed under the name uncultured Myxococcales bacterium. RNAcentral's name for it is "bacterial SSU rRNA". It matches the Rfam family "Bacterial small subunit ribosomal RNA", at positions 349 to 789 of the family's 1533-position model. The record is from RNAcentral. Lineage: Bacteria; Pseudomonadati; Myxococcota; Myxococcia; Myxococcales.
CAGCAGUAGGGAAUCUUCCGCAAUGGGCGAAAGCCUGACGGAGCGACGCCGCGUGAGCGAUGAAGGCCUUCGGGUUGUAAAGCUCUGUGGGGAGGGAAGAAUAAGGGUAAGCUAACAGCUUGUAUGAUGACGGUACCUCCUUAGCAAGCCCCGGCUAACUAUGUGCCAGCAGCCGCGGUAAGACAGAGGGGGCAAACGUUGUUCGGAUUUACUGGGCGUAAAGGGCGUGUAGGCGGCUUUGCAAGUCGGAUGUGAAAGCCCACGGCUCAACCGUGGAAGUGCAUCGGAAACUGCAUGGCUUGAGUCCAGGAGAGGAAGGUGGAAUGCCAGGUGUAGCGGUGAAAUUCGUAGAUACAGGCGGAACACCUCGGCGAAGGCGGCUUUCUGACGGAACUGACGCUAGGCGCGAAAGCGGGGGAGCAAACAGGAUUAGAUACCCGG